UGAUGGGUGCGAUCAUACCAGCACUAAUGCACCGGAUCCCAUCAGAACUCCGCAGUUAAGCGUGCUUGGGCGAGAGUAGUACUAAGUUGGGUGACCACUUGGGAAGUCCUCGUGUUGCACCCCUUUUUUUAUAUUUUUUUUAAUACUGUUUUCUUCAAUCCCUCCAUUUCAUUUCUCUCCCAGCGUGUCUUCACGCCGUGCAGCCGCCCCGGCUCGUAUGCUCAUGCACACGCUCGCGCGGGCCCAGGUGGCCGUUGCGACCAGUAAAGCCGGCCUGGGUGAUUCUGCCCGACAUGGCUUAGAUGCAUUUUCUGUGCAUUCUG
This 323-nucleotide unclassified non-coding RNA is filed under the name Cucumis hystrix. Lineage: Eukaryota; Viridiplantae; Streptophyta; Magnoliopsida; Cucurbitales; Cucurbitaceae. The record is from RNAcentral.